Molecule: ribosomal RNA, 451 nt
Filed under: uncultured bacterium
Lineage: Bacteria
Description: bacterial SSU rRNA
Rfam family: Bacterial small subunit ribosomal RNA
Source: RNAcentral
GUGGGGAAUAUUGGACAAUGGGGGGAACCCUGAUCCAGCCAUGCCGCGUGUGUGAAGAAGGCCUUUUGGUUGUAAAGCACUUUAAGCGAGGAGGAGGCUACCGAGAUUAAUACUCUUGGAUAGUGGACGUUACUCGCAGAAUAAGCACCGGCUAACUCUGUGCCAGCAGCCGCGGUAAUACAGAGGGUGCAAGCGUUAAUCGGAUUUACUGGGCGUAAAGCGCGCGUAGGUGGCCAAUUAAGGCAAAUGUGAAAACCCCGGGCUUAAAUUGGGAAUUGCAUUCGAUACUGGUUGGCUAGAGUAUGGGAGAGGAUGGUAGAAUUCCAGGUGUAGCGGUGAAAUGCGUAGAGAUCUGGAGGAAUACCGAUGGCGAAGGCAGCCAUCUGGCCUAAUACUGACACUGAGGUGCGAAAGCAUGGGGAGCAAACAGGAUUAGAAACCCUUGUAGUCC